UAAGUUGUUUAGUUCAUCGACAGUGGU
This 27-nucleotide small RNA is filed under the name Bombyx mori (domestic silkworm). RNAcentral describes it as "ovarian small RNA-19484". The record is from RNAcentral. Lineage: Eukaryota; Metazoa; Arthropoda; Insecta; Lepidoptera; Bombycidae.